Molecule: non-coding RNA, 100 nt
Filed under: uncultured Ruminococcus sp.
Lineage: Bacteria; Bacillati; Bacillota; Clostridia; Eubacteriales; Oscillospiraceae
Description: pemK RNA
Rfam family: pemK RNA
Source: RNAcentral
AUAAUGAUACUUGCGUCCCGUCCCAAGUCGAGCGAGAAAAGACCGUCACAACUAAGGAGGGCGUCCGCGGGAGAUCCCGGCGGUGGUGAGAUUCCAAUGA